GAGUCAAUAUAUCUGGUCACUGAAGGUUCAGGGAGUCAAUAUAUCUGGUCACUGAAGGUUCAGGGAGUCAAUAUAUCUGGUCACUGAAGGUUCAGGGAGUCAACAUCAAUAUAUCUGGUUACUGAAGGUACAGGGAGUCAAUAUAUCUGGUCACUGAAGGUUCAGGGAGUCAAUAUAUCUGGUCACUGAAGGUUCAGGGAGUCAAUAUAUCUGGUCACUGAAGGUACAGGGAGUCAAUAUAUCUGGUCACU
This is a long non-coding RNA of Oncorhynchus keta (chum salmon), 251 nucleotides long. RefSeq lists it as uncharacterized. The record is from RefSeq and is a predicted model, not a curated record. Lineage: Eukaryota; Metazoa; Chordata; Actinopteri; Salmoniformes; Salmonidae. The transcript is spliced from 3 exons.